Long non-coding RNA from Alnus glutinosa, 767 nucleotides. RefSeq lists it as uncharacterized. The transcript has 2 exons. Lineage: Eukaryota; Viridiplantae; Streptophyta; Magnoliopsida; Fagales; Betulaceae. The record is from RefSeq and is a predicted model, not a curated record.
AAAGAGGAUUAUAGCCUAAUCUAAUAUGAGUUGUUAAGUUAAUAUGUAUAAGCUAAUAGACUUAUAGAACAUAUAAAUAUGAUAUAAAUCAAUUUUGUAGCAACCUAGUAACUAAUCCACCUAUCUAUAUACACACGGUACUUAUGUGUAUCAUCGGAUUAGGUUUAAGCAUUGUAUAUGUAUACAUAUAAAUGUAUAUGAAUCAAAUAUACAUUGUUAAUAUAAUAAAUAGACAAGUAAAAUAAUAGAAGUAUCUUAAAGAUAAAUAAGUGAUAAAAUAUGAACCUACAAGCGAGGAUUGACCUAAUAGUAGUUAAAGGAACUUAAUUGGUUCUAGAGAUAGAGUAAUGCGACGUGUGAGCAUGCGGGUAGUUAGGAUGUCAUAGAGUAUGAGAUUCAAUAGUGUAGUCUAACGAUACCAAUGUUUGCAGGAUCGUGUUGUAAUUGGAGACUUCAAUGGGUUCUCCAAUGUAGAGUCCAAGUGACUAGAGUCCAAGGAGUGUUCGGGUUGGAGUCCAAUGCAGCCAAGAUGAUGUUUCUUUGGCUGCAGGUACUUCGGUAUAGUCGAUGGGUCGGUAGCAGUGUGCUUGGGAUAUUAUGACUGAAGCUCGCCGCGUCAGUUGUAAUUGUCGGACCACGGGUUGUCCACUAUUUUAUAGGUUUGGUAUGGCUUGUGAUGUUUGUGUCACUUAUUCUUUGUUAAGCCAUUAUUCUUAUAGUAUUAAUAAGACUCAAACAGAUAGAUGUUAAAUGGCUCUUUGUUGUAA